GACGAACGCUGGCGGCGUGCUUAACACAUGCAAGUCGAACGGUGAAGGGACCAGCUUGCUGGUUCUGGAUGAGUGGCGAACGGGUGAGUAACACGUGAGUAACCUGCCCCCUUCUUCUGGAUAACCGCAUGAAAGUGUGGCUAAUACGGGAUAUUCUGGGUCUGUCGCAUGAUGGGCCCGGGAAAGAUAUUGUUUCGGUGGGGGAUGGGCUCGCGGCCUAUCACCUUGUUGGUGGGGUGAUGGCCUACCAAGGCGGUGACGGGUAGCCGACCUGAGAGGGAGGAGAGAGAAACUGGGACCGCAACCCUACCCCCUACCCCCUCCCCCCACAUUCAUUGUGGAAAUUUUUUUUAUGGAUUUAUGCGGUAUACUUAUCUCCCACCGAAGCAUGCAGGAUUGACGUAUUUUUUUUUUUUUAUUUCUUUAUUCUGCCCCAAGAACAAGAGGGGGGCGGGUAAGAUAACUUUUGACUUCCGCCCCCCCUCUAACCACAAGGCGACGGCUUUUCUUUUUCCCCCACACCCUUUACUUUUUAUUAUCCUCCCUAAUUCCUCUUUUUUUGA
RNAcentral lists this ribosomal RNA (563 nucleotides) under uncultured Actinomyces sp. Its description in RNAcentral is "partial 16S ribosomal RNA". It matches the Rfam family "Bacterial small subunit ribosomal RNA", at positions 28 to 390 of the family's 1533-position model. Lineage: Bacteria; Bacillati; Actinomycetota; Actinomycetes; Actinomycetales; Actinomycetaceae. The record is from RNAcentral.